RNAcentral lists this transfer RNA (68 nucleotides) under Scylla serrata (giant mud crab). Its description in RNAcentral is "tRNA-Ala". The record is from RNAcentral. RNAcentral also lists the same sequence under 1 other name. Lineage: Eukaryota; Metazoa; Arthropoda; Malacostraca; Decapoda; Portunidae.
AAGACCAUAGUCUAAUCUCAUGACAUAUGAGUUGCAUUCAUAAAGUGUUUUUCAAUAAACUGGUUUUG